CAAGUAGACCGGGUGACCGCUCUGGUUUGGUAUUAAGAAUCAGGGAGGAAAGUCCGAGCUCCACCAGGCAGGGUGCUGGGUAACGCCCAGGAGGGGUGAUCCUACGGAAAGUGCCACAGAAACAUACCGCUCUUUACUUUAAGAGUAAGGGUGAAAUGGUGAGGUAAGAGCUCACCAGCGGCUAGGUGACUAGUCGGCUGGGCAAACCCCGCCCGGAGCAAGACCAAAUAGGGGCAAAGGGACGCCUGGCCUUAACCCCGGGUUGGUCGCUUGACCUCGAUGGUAACAUCGAGGCUAGAUGGAUGGUUACCGCCCUGACUUUGUCAAGGCACAGAACUCGGCUUAUAGGUCUACUUGGCCU
Molecule: RNase P RNA, 361 nt
Filed under: Dehalococcoidia bacterium
Lineage: Bacteria; Bacillati; Chloroflexota; Dehalococcoidia
Description: RNase P RNA component class A
Rfam family: Bacterial RNase P class A
About the family: Ribonuclease P (RNase P) is a ubiquitous endoribonuclease, found in archaea, bacteria and eukarya as well as chloroplasts and mitochondria. Its best characterised activity is the generation of mature 5'-ends of tRNAs by cleaving the 5'-leader elements of precursor-tRNAs.
Source: RNAcentral